Molecule: ribosomal RNA, 497 nt
Filed under: uncultured bacterium
Lineage: Bacteria
Description: partial 16S ribosomal RNA
Rfam family: Bacterial small subunit ribosomal RNA
Source: RNAcentral
GAUGAACGCUGGCGGCGUGCCUAAUACAUGCAAGUCGAGCGAACGGACGAGAAGCUUGCUUCUCUGAUGUUAGCGGCGGACGGGUGAGUAACACGUGGAUAACCUACCUAUAAGACUGGGAUAACUUCGGGAAACCGGAGCUAAUACCGGAUAAUAUUUUGAACCGCAUGGUUCAAAAGUGAAAGACGGUCUUGCUGUCACUUAUAGAUGGAUCCGCGCUGCAUUAGCUAGUUGGUAAGGUAACGGCUUACCAAGGCAACGAUGCAUAGCCGACCUGAGAGGGUGAUCGGCCACACUGGAACUGAGACACGGACCAGACUCCUACGGGAGGCAGCAGUAGGGAAUAUUCCGCAAAGGGCGAAAGCAUGACGGAGCAAAGCCGCGUGAGUGAUGAAGGUCUUCGGAUCGUAAAACUCUGUUAUUAGGGAAGAACAUAUGUGUAAGUAACUGUGCACAUAUUGACGGUACCUAAUAAGAAAGCCACGGCUAACUACGUG